CUCCCUUUUUCCAUAGUCUCUCUUUAUGUUUUAGUGCCUUUCCCUUCCUUUUUUCCAAUUUUAAAACUAGGAGAGCUAAUAAUAAUCAUUAUAUUCUGACCAAAAUCUUUCAAAUUCACUGAGUAUUGGCAUGCUGGUAAUUAAGGUCUCAGCUCUCCUGUUGUGACUUUUAUUAAAGUCAAUUUAUAUCUGUCAGAUCUUGGCAGCCCAUGAAAAUUCCCAGUGGGAAUACUAGGAGCAUAUUUCUCCCAUCAUCAUUAGUUGUGUGUCAUUAAUUUGAUAAUGCAUCACAAGCAUUUGAUAGCCCUAGAGACUGGCACUUUCAAUCCAGGGCUUCUGUAAUUGGCAGGAGCUAUUUAAGAGCAAACACAUUUGUCUAGACCCCAGGUGCACACGUACAGCCCCACUGAGCUACAGCCUUGCUUGAGGAUUUACUCUCCUACCAGGUGCAUGUUUUCACUGUGACUGAACUCAGUUGCAGUAAGUUCGACUUACUUGUCGAGCUUGUUCAUCCAGGAGGGUUUCAUGAAUCCCUUCUACAUGACAGAUCAAAGUUGUUGAGUUGUUGCCUGUUCUUAUCUGACACAGACUAACAUCAGCAGCAGCUGAGUGCCACAAGGAGGUGAGUGAGCUCCUCCAGUCCCUGCUGCUGUGGAGCACCACUGGUCUCAGUCCAGGAUUUCUCACCCCACUGCACCAGCUCUCUAUUUUCUUCAAGACUAACCUAAGCCAGGGCCCUUCUGUG
Molecule: long non-coding RNA, 745 nt
Filed under: Cyanistes caeruleus (blue tit)
Lineage: Eukaryota; Metazoa; Chordata; Aves; Passeriformes; Paridae
Description: lncRNA (ENSCCEG00000022898.1)
Source: RNAcentral